GAAUCCAAGCCCGACGAACAUCUUCAAUUACGGGGUUUGUAUAGGGGCAAGAUUCUGCCGAGUACUUGCACUACUAGACGAAAAGCGAGACAGCGUGUGAUCAGAGAGAGAUGGCGUGGUGUGCGGCGAGGUCAAUGCACGUACCGAUGAUCGAAGUGGGCGCACUGCGCAAACAGGCUCAUUUCGCCGGCGGCAUAGGCUUUGUCUCCGUCGCAGGCACCACCCUGGGGCGCUCUUCAUGUUCUUCUUCCAAGCGAUCCGUGCACCCCUUUGCUUGCUUGGGCCUUUCCACUGAUUCUCGAAGCUGUCCAAACAGAAAGGCUCCGGCAGCCUUGGGACCAUAUUCUCAGGCCAUCAAAGCCAACAACUCUCUCUUUGUGUCUGGUGUUCUGGGACUUGUUCCAGAGACUGGGAAGUUCAUCUCGAUAUGAUAGGGAUAUAUGUUGAAUCUUUGAGCAUUAGCUUGCAUAGAUUGAUAUUUAUUUCCUAAAGAGAACCAUCGGUGGGCAUGAAAGAACCAUUAUCGCAUCACGCAGUGUUUGGGAUAGCUCACGUGGCUUGAGCAAUUGUCUCUGAUGAAUGUUCUCAAAAACAUGGGGGAAAUCUUGAAAGCUGGUGGUGCAAGCUAUGCCUCAGUAGUUAAGACAACAAUUAUGUUAGCAGACUUGAAUGAUUUCAAGAAAGUGAAUGAGAUUUAUGCUAAAUACUUUCCUUCGCCUGCCCCAGCUCGUUCAACCUUUGAAGUUGCUGCAUUACCAUUGGGUGCCAAAAUUGAAAUCGAGUGCAUUGCUGCAACAUAAACUCCUUUGGCGAAUGGCAUCCGCUUCUUCAGGCAGCUUGGAUUAAGACGGGAGGGGUAUGAUCAUGAUUAGGAGUUCUAACUUUGUCUCCGCGUGGACAUAGUUGUUAUUUUGAGAAUGUCAUCUUGAUGAAACUUGUAAGGAUGUCUAACGCAGUGUUCAACUAAAUGGUGAGUGCAUUUGGUUCA
Carya illinoinensis is the source of this 988-nucleotide RNA transcript. It is a transcript of the gene named reactive Intermediate Deaminase A, chloroplastic-like, with no coding region annotated. The record is from RefSeq and is a predicted model, not a curated record. Lineage: Eukaryota; Viridiplantae; Streptophyta; Magnoliopsida; Fagales; Juglandaceae. The transcript is spliced from 6 exons.